This 253-nucleotide ribosomal RNA is filed under the name uncultured bacterium. Its description in RNAcentral is "partial 16S ribosomal RNA". It matches the Rfam family "Bacterial small subunit ribosomal RNA", at positions 524 to 776 of the family's 1533-position model. The record is from RNAcentral.
UACAGAGGUCUCAACCGUUGUUCGGAUUCAUUGGGCGUAAAGGGUGCGUAGGUGGCGCUGUAAGUCAGGUGUGAAAUUUCGGAGCUUAACUCCGAAACUGCAUUUGAUACUGCGGUGCUUGAGGACUGGAGAGGAGACUGGAAUUUACGGUGUAGCAGUGAAAUGCGUAGAGAUCGUAAGGAAGACCAGUGGCGAAGGCGGGUCUCUGGACAGUUCCUGACACUGAGGCACGAAGGCCAGGGGAGCAAACGGG